RNAcentral lists this ribosomal RNA (299 nucleotides) under uncultured Planctomycetota bacterium. Its description in RNAcentral is "uncultured planctomycete partial 16S ribosomal RNA". It matches the Rfam family "Bacterial small subunit ribosomal RNA", at positions 29 to 351 of the family's 1533-position model. Lineage: Bacteria; Pseudomonadati; Planctomycetota. The record is from RNAcentral.
AAUGAACGUUGGCGGCGUGGAUUAGGCAUGCAAGUCGUGCGGGAGUAGCAAUACUCCAGCGGCGAAAGGGAUAGUAACACGUAGGUACCUACCCUCGGGUUCGGGAUAGCUUCGGGAAACUGAAGGUAAUACCGGAUAACGUCUCCGGACCAAAGGUGUGAUUCCGCCCGGGGAGGGCCUGCGUCCUAUUAGCUAGUUGGUGAGGUAACGGCCCACCAAGGCAACGAUGGGUAGCGGGUGUGAGAGCACGACCCGCAUCACUGGGACUGAGACACUGCCCAGACACCUACGGGAGGCAG